UACAGAGGGUGCGAGCGUUGUUCGGAAUUAUUGGGCGUAAAGGGCGCGUAGGCGGUGCGGUAAGUCACCUGUGAAGUCUCCUGGCUCAACUGGGAGCUUGCAGGCGAAACUGCCGUGCUGGAGUGUGGGAGAGGUGCGUGGAAUUCCUGGUGUAGCGGUGAAAUGCGUAGAUAUCAGGAGGAACACCUGUGGCGAAAGCGGCGCACUGGACCACAACUGACGCUGAGGCGCGAAAGCUAGGGGAGCAAACAGG
RNAcentral lists this ribosomal RNA (253 nucleotides) under uncultured bacterium. RNAcentral describes it as "partial 16S ribosomal RNA". It matches the Rfam family "Bacterial small subunit ribosomal RNA", at positions 524 to 776 of the family's 1533-position model. The record is from RNAcentral.